This 376-nucleotide ribosomal RNA is filed under the name Thraustochytrium sp. RNAcentral describes it as "partial small subunit ribosomal RNA". It matches the Rfam family "Eukaryotic small subunit ribosomal RNA", at positions 582 to 975 of the family's 1831-position model. Lineage: Eukaryota; Bigyra; Thraustochytrida; Thraustochytriidae. The record is from RNAcentral.
AUUCCAGCUCCAAUAGCGUACACUAAAGUUGUUGCAGUUAAAAAGCUCGUAGUCUAAUGUAUGGGAGUUGCGGGGUGGGUGUUUUGCUGGUUCUGCCGGCGAGACAAGACUCGCUCCGCUUCCCGCGUUUUCCCUUUUUGUAAAAGAAGGGAUACUUCACUGUAAGUAAAACAACUCGCUCAACAGCAAGGUUAUCUUGAUAUGAAUUAGUAUGGGAUGAUGAGAUAGGCUCGGUCCGUAUUUUGUUGGUUUUAGUGGUCUGAGAAUGAUGAAGAGGGACAAUUGGGGGUAUUCGUAUUUACAUGUCAGAGGUGGAAUUCUUGGAUUUUGGAAAGACGAACUAAUGCGAAAGCAUCUACCAAAGAUGUUUUCAUCA